Misgurnus anguillicaudatus (oriental weatherfish) is the source of this 71-nucleotide small nucleolar RNA. RefSeq annotates it as small nucleolar RNA R38. NCBI's taxonomy places the organism in Eukaryota, Metazoa, Chordata, Actinopteri, Cypriniformes, Cobitidae. The record is from RefSeq and is a predicted model, not a curated record.
UACAGCCUGUGAUGAAAGAAGUUAUCCCUGUCUGAAAAUAAUGUGUGGACUUAUGGUAACCUGAGGCUUGU